ACAAAGCAGACAUACUGCAUAGAAUUCAUGUUCCGAUUUUUGAGUCAUACAAUAUUACAAAAAGCAAAUAUAUUGCUAUGCUUUGUAGAAAAUUUUAACAAUACUACUAAAGAAAAGGUACAUGAACAAUCACAAAGGCCAAGCUGUAAGCACCUUAAACUUAAUUGAACGCGAGUGUUGCCGGAAGAUAAGACUCAAACACGCACACUAAGCACAACAUAAAUUAAAUCCUCCAAAAAUCCGUGUGGACCCCCAAGCAAAAAUUCAAAAAUCCUUGUUUGAACAAAAAUCAAAAAAUAGAAGUCUUGGAUCCAGAUUUUCAAUCCAAUGGCUCCCAUUUUCCAACCUUUAUUCCAAGGGCUCGGACUUUAUACAAAAAUAAAGAGAUAAAAGAAGAAAUCCGCGUGAAUCAGAUUGCAAUGAUGAAAUUUGUUGAGAUUAGCUACGUGAAAGAAGAAGAAGAAGAAGAGAGAAGGGGCGACUAUGGAGGGACCAAUGGGUGAACUCGACGGGUUUGGGGCAAGUUCCGGCGAGUUUGGAGGGUGGGAGACACGACGGAGGCGGAGAGGGGCUGGGGCGGCUGUUUUGGUUUUUAGGGUUAGAGUUUGGGAUUAGGUUUGGGGUGUUUUGUGGAAUGU
This 638-nucleotide long non-coding RNA is filed under the name Nicotiana benthamiana. RNAcentral describes it as "long non-coding RNA (NBEN_LNC018764)". Lineage: Eukaryota; Viridiplantae; Streptophyta; Magnoliopsida; Solanales; Solanaceae. The record is from RNAcentral.